UGAGGAACAUGAUCUUCGGCGGGGGAUAGCCGGCCCAACGGCCGGGUAAUACCGCGUACGACCACAUGGGGACAUCCCUGAGUGGUGAAAGCAGCAAUGCGCCGAUGGAGUGCCUCGCGGCCUAUCAGCUAGUUGGUGAGGUAACGGCUCACCAAGGCGACGACGGGUAGCUGGUCUGAGAGGAUGGCCAGCCACAGUUGGGACUGAGACACGGCCCAGACUCCGUACGGGG
This 232-nucleotide ribosomal RNA is filed under the name uncultured bacterium. RNAcentral describes it as "partial 16S ribosomal RNA". It matches the Rfam family "Bacterial small subunit ribosomal RNA", at positions 118 to 346 of the family's 1533-position model. The record is from RNAcentral.